This 3235-nucleotide ribosomal RNA is filed under the name Emiliania huxleyi CCMP1516. RNAcentral's name for it is "eukaryotic LSU rRNA". It matches the Rfam family "Eukaryotic large subunit ribosomal RNA". The record is from RNAcentral. Lineage: Eukaryota; Haptophyta; Isochrysidales; Noelaerhabdaceae.
AACCCGCCAUCGAAUGAGGCAAGACUACCCGCUGAACUUAAGCAUAUCACUAAGCGGAGGAGAAGAAACUAACCAGGAUGCCCCUAGUAAUGGCGAAUGAAGCGGGCUGAGCUCACGCUGCCAAUCUGGAGGCCUCGCGUAUGCAGCGCCCCCCGAAUUGUGGUCUAGAGAGGCGUUAUCGGCCGCGCCCGCUGCUCAAGUCCCUUGGAACAGGGUGUCGGAGAGGGUGAGAAUCCCGUACCGUGGCGGGUUGCGGCCUUACGAUGCGUCCUCGUCGAGUCGGGUUGCUUGGGAUUGCAGCUUGAAUUGGGUGGUAAAUUCCAUCUAAAGCUAAAUACUGGCGAGAGACCGAUAGCGAACAAGUACCGUGAGGGAAAGAUGCAAAGAACUUUGAAAAGAGAGUCAAAGAGUGCUUGAAAUCGGUAGGAGGAAACCCGGAUGGGCCCGGCUUCGGCGCGCCGACUCAGCCUGGGGUUCUCCCCAGGUGCACUUCUGCGCGCCGGGUCAGCCGCGCCUCGGCGCCGCGCCUCAACCCGGGAGCGGGGCUUUACGGCCAGCUCCCGUCCUGGCGCGGCCCGGGGCCCGGCUGACGGAACGGGCCCCUCCGACCCGUCUAGAAACACGGACCAAGGAGUCUGACACGUGUGCGAGUACCCGGGUGGCAAGCCCGCGUGCGGAAUGAAAGUGAAGGGCAUGCCCUGCCAACCGACCUUGACCUGCUGUGAGGGGUUUGAGUGGAGCACACCUGUCGGGACCCGAAAGAUGGUGAACUAUGCCUGGGUAGGGUGAAGCCAGAGGAAACUCUGGUGGAGGCUCGUAGCGAUACUGACGUGCAAAUCGUUCGUCGAAUCUGGGUAUAGGGGCGAAAGACUAAUCGAACCAUCUAGUAGCUGGUUCCCUCCGAAGUUUCCCUCAGGAUAGCUUGAACGCAACGGUUUUGUCAGGUAAAGCGAAUGAUUAGAGGCCUGUGGGCUGAAACAGCUUGCACCUAUUCUCAAACUUUAAAUGGGCAAGAGGCCCGGGAUGCUUGAGUGAUCCCGGGCGGCGAACGGCGCGUUCAAAGUGGGCCAUUUUUGGUAAGCAGAACUGGCGAUGCGGGAUGAACCGAACGCCGCGCUAAGGUACCCAAGUGUCCGCUCAUCAGAUACCACAAAAGGCGUUGGUACCUCCAGACAGCAGGACGGUGGCCAUGGAAGUCGGAACCCGCUAAGGAGUGUGUAACAACUCACCUGCCGAAGGUACUAGCCCUGAAAAUGGAUGGCGCUCAAGCGGACCACCGAUGCGCGGCCGCCGGCGCGAGCGCGAGGCGCCGGCGAGUAGGAGGGCGCGGGGCUCGCGGCGCAGCCUUGGGCGCGAGCCUGGGUGAAGCGGGCCCCGGUGCAGAUCUUGGUGGUAGUAGCAAAUAUUCAAAUGAGAACUUUGAAGACUGAAGUGGAGAAAGGUUCCGUGUGAACAGCAGUUGGACACGGGUGAGCCGACCCUAAGAGACAGGAAAACUCCGCCGAACGCGGCUGGUUCUGUCAGCCCGUCCGUCGAAAGGGAAUCGGGUUAAUAUUCCCGAGCCAGCGCGUGGAUGGUGGGCGGCGACGCGAACGAACCCGGAGACGCCGGCGGGAGCCCUGGGAAGAGUUCUCUUUUCUUCUUAACUGCCUCCUGCCCUGGAAUCGGUUUAGCCGGAGCGAGGGCUACACGGCAGGCAAAGCACCCUAAGUCUUGGGGUGUCCGGCGCGCUCCCGACGGCCCGUGAAAAUCCGGGGGAGCGGUUCGUUCUCACGCCUGGUCGUACUCAUAACCGCAUCAGGUCUCCAAGGUGAACAGCCUCUAGUCGAUAGAGCAAUGUAGGUAAGGGAAGUCGGCAAAAUGGUUCCGCAACCUCGGGAGAAGGAAUGGCUCUGAAGGCUGGGCGCAGGGGUCCUAGGCUCGAGGCCGGCUGGCUGCGCGGGGACUACGGCCUCACGGCUGCGGAUCCCGCGCGGCCGUCCGGCGGACGGCCUAGGAGCGCUCCGGCUCUCCCUGCGCGACGAACAGCCGCUUCAGAACUGGCGCGGACAAGGGGAAUCCGACUGUUUAAUUAAAACAAAGCAUUGCGAUGGCCCGCGAGGGUGCUGACGCAAUGUGAUUUCUGCCCAGUGCUCUGAAUGUCAAAGUGAAGAAAUUCAACCAAGCGCGGGUAAACGGCGGGAGUAACUAUGACUCUCUUAAGGUAGCCAAAUGCCUCGUCAUCCAAUUAGUGACGCGCAUGAAUGGAUUCGUGAGAUUCCCACUGUCCCUAUCUACUGUCUAGCGAAACCACAGCCAAGGGAACGGGCUUGGAAGAAUCAGCGGGGAAAGAAGACCCUGUUGAGCUUGACUCUAGUCUGUUACUGUGGAACGACUUGAUGGGUGUAGAAUAUGCGGGAGGGGCAACCCGACAGUGAAAUACCGCAACCGUCAACGUUGUUUUACUUACUCGGUGGCGCGGAGGGAGGCUCGCCUCACUUCUGGAUCCAAGCCGCUUCGUGCGCGCGAUCCGCGUCGGGGACACUAACAGGUGGGGAGUUUGGCUGGGGCGGCACGUCUGUUAAAAAAUAACGCAGGCGCCCGAUUUUGAGCUCAAUGAGAACAGAAAUCUCAUGUGGACCGAAAGGGGAAAAGCUCGGUUGAUUUUGAUUUUCAGUACGAAUACAAACCGCGAAAGCGUGGCCUAUCGAUCCUCUCGUCUUUGGGAAUUUCAAGCUAGAGGUGUCAGAAAAGUUACCACAGGGAUAACUGGCUUGUGGCUGCCAAGCGUUCAUAGCGACGUAGCUUUUUGAUCCUUCGAUGUCGGCUCUUCCUAUCACUGCCUCGCAGCGGGGGCCAAAUGCAGGAUUGUUCACCCACCAACAGGGAACGUGAGCUGGGUUUAGACCGUCGUGAGACAGGUUAGUUUUACCCUACUGCUGUCUGUUUUUCUACGGUAAUUUGGUUCAGUACGAGAGGAACCACCAAUUCGCAUCAUCGGUAUAGCCGCCGCCGGAAACGGCGAUGCGGCGAAGCUGCCAUGCGCCGGAUUAUAACUGAACGCCUCUAAGUUAGAAUCCAUGCCGGAAGGAAAGCCACCUACCGGCCCGGGGACGCCACGAGCAACGGUAGCACUGCCUGAGCCGCGAGCGACCACAAUUCACGGACCCGGGCCGACGAAUCCCUUGCAGACGACUUGAAUAAGGAACGGGGUAUUGUACGCGGCAGAGUGGCCUUGUUGCCACGAUCCGCUGAG